Cavia aperea (Brazilian guinea pig) is the source of this 102-nucleotide small nuclear RNA. Lineage: Eukaryota; Metazoa; Chordata; Mammalia; Rodentia; Caviidae. The record is from Ensembl.
AUGCUCGCUUUGGCAGCACAUAUACUAAAAGUGGAGCAAUACAGAGAUUAGCCAUGGCCCCUGCGAAAGAUGGAAGCCAAUGGAUAAAUACAUCCUUCUUUA